UACAGAGGGGGCAAGCGUUAUUCGGAAUUAUUGGGCGUAAAGGGCGCGUAGGCGGCCUGGCAAGUGGAAGGUGAAAUCCCUCGGCUUAACCGAGGAACUGCCCUCCAAACUGCUUGGCUUGAGUCCGGGAGAGGUGAGUGGAAUUCCCAGUGUAGCGGUGAAAUGCGUAGAGAUUAGGAAGAACACCAGUGGCGAAGGCGACUUACUGGACUGUAACUGACGCUGAGGCAUGAAAGCGUGGGGAGCAAACAGG
Molecule: ribosomal RNA, 253 nt
Filed under: uncultured bacterium
Lineage: Bacteria
Description: partial 16S ribosomal RNA
Rfam family: Bacterial small subunit ribosomal RNA
Source: RNAcentral